UCGCAACGUCACAGCCCUGGAGUGUGCCCAAUUUCAUCAGAUCUCGGAAGCUAAGCUGGCUUGAGCCUGGACAGUGAUUGGAUGGGUGACCACCAUGCACAUGUGGGUACGAUAGGCU
RNAcentral lists this ribosomal RNA (118 nucleotides) under Petromyzon marinus (sea lamprey). The record is from RNAcentral. Lineage: Eukaryota; Metazoa; Chordata; Hyperoartia; Petromyzontiformes; Petromyzontidae.